Apis cerana (Asiatic honeybee) is the source of this 5593-nucleotide long non-coding RNA. RefSeq lists it as uncharacterized. NCBI's taxonomy places the organism in Eukaryota, Metazoa, Arthropoda, Insecta, Hymenoptera, Apidae. The record is from RefSeq and is a predicted model, not a curated record.
CCGAUUUGAAAAAAAAACAAUGUGAUAAUCGAUCAAUCAUAAAAGCUAGGAAAUACAGGAAGAACUCUUGGAAUUACCGAUUAAAAGCAAAUCAAAUCACGGCACUUGGUUGGGAUUACCAGUUUAUGAUGAUUCGAAUUGGCUUCGAUUAUCUCAUCCAACAGGGAAGUACCAUUAUAAUAAUAAGCUGUUGCAUACAUGUAUCUACAAGAUUGCGCAAUCGUUGCCACACAUAGCCGCUAACCGAUUGGUAUCAAUGGCAAAAUAUCUCGAGGACAAAAAGCACGAGGAACAAAUAGGAUCGAUGGUUGAAUUACACUGAUGAAAUGAAGAGGGAAGAUCGUACAAGAAGAUAAAAUUACGAGGACGAAUAAAAGAGUGGAAGAAUCGUAUAGUGAGGCGGACCCAAAAUGACUGGCAGAAGCGUCUGAAUGGGCUCUGGUUGUUCGUACUUGGCCGAUUCAUAGCAUUCCACCAAAGUGGUGCUCACGGUGACGAGCAAAAGAGCAAUUUCCCAUUGUGAAAAUCUGCGUAAUACCACUGCUUCCCUGAGCACGGGAGAUUCUCCUAACCUUUUAUCUCUCUUUCUCUCUUUUUGUAUUAUAUCUGGUUUAAUUACACUUGUCAUUUUGCGAGUGUGGUGUCUCAUUACGAAGAAAGUUCGAGAUUUAACUCGACGGCUUGCGAACCUAGGUGGCCUCUUUCUCUAACGGCACUAACCAGACAGCCAACAACAACGACGACGAAGGAACGAACGAACGAACGAACCGACGAAGGAACGAACGAACCAACGAACCAACGAACGAACGAACGAACCAACCAACCAACCAACCAACCAACCAACCGACCGACCGACCGACCAACCAGUCAUGAGCCCCCUUUUACCUUACGUAUAGCCCUCCGCGUGCCUCUCUUCGCAUCGCCGCUCUAGAUCUUCGGAUAAGAGCGAACACCAUUUUAGCGGUUCCUUACACACCAGACAUCCGUUCCCUUCCUAUAUAUACGUGGCUACGGGAGAACUCGCUGCAUUUUCUCCGCGCGAAUGUGUCAAGCGACUGAGAAACAGACAGAGAUAGAGAAGGCGGAUCGUGGAAGGUUGGUGGGCGGAGGGAAGGGAGAGAUGGCGGGCAGAAAAGGACAAAGAGAUCGGAGGGAACUGGUAAGGGAGAGAGGGAUCGAAGUGUACGAUAAAGUGAGAGAAAGAAGUGAAAUCGGAGAGAGAGAGAGAGAGAGAAAGAAAGAGAUGUAUAGAUAUAUAGCGGGAGUGAGAAAGAAAAGAAGAGAUGGGCAUGUCAGUCGAAACCUUCUAAUCCCACAUACAGGUGCUUAAUUCGUUACGUGAGACCGGAGGAAACAGAAAACGGGAUACUGUACCGUUUUCUGUGAUAACGAAUAAGGGUUUCGUCCGUUCUUCUCUUCCUCAACCCCUCUAUGCUCGUUAAUUAAACGUUGUGUUAAGUACAUUCGCCAUAAAACGACAACGUUCAAGAUAUGCGAAAUAGAUUCACCAUGAAAGAUAAAAAAGAUGGGACAUCGCGUAGCGAAGAUUUCGAUAUCUUGGUUCGCGUUAGAUCAGCUUUUUGCGAUUAAGGUUCAAUCGAACUCGGAGCUUUGAUAAUUUUCUGUUUAAGUGGAUAUCAGACGAGGACGUGGGGAACAGGUCACAUCCGGGUUAACGUAAUUACAAAUUAAUUUCGUUUUAUUAAGUAGCUCCCGGCCGAAGAACGCACGUAUGGCUUAUCUCCGAGACUACUUGGAGAAGCACCGUAUUCGGGUUAAUUCUGCAUUUAAUUGGUGGCUUAACCGUAUAUCCACGGUUUAUUCGGACUAUCGUGAGAAAAAAGAUAUUAAUUUUUCACGAGUAACUAGAAUUCCCGCAAGAAUUUGCACUUUAUGGAAACACGGGCAGAUGAAGAUAACGAUAAUUGCGUAGUGUGGCGGCCGCGGAAAAGAUUAUUCGAAAUGGUUCAACACGGUGAAAUAUGGUAUAUGUUGGAUCGUUGCCUUCGAAUACUUCAGUGACCCACAGGUGUGUACGGGUGGAACUGCCUUCGAGUAACUGUACCAAAACCUAUGAAUUUUUACGGCUAAAUUAUAUUCCAAUUAUAGAAGAUAUUUUUUCCCAUAAUUCUUUUUUUAUUAAUUAUCCCUGAUUAAUAUGAUUAUACAAUACUGUAAAAAUUUUAAUGAUGAUAACCUUCUGUCAGAGAUUGUAACUAUUAAAAUUUAGAUGAUUUGUCAUUUUUUAAAAUAGAAAGUAAUGUAGCAUAAUCUAAUUUUUUUUAAAAUACUUUCUAUAAGAUAGUUUUCUAAUGAUAUAUUUCGAUAUUAUUUAUAUUAAAACAAUAAUAUCAAUUAAAUAUACUUACAUUUCAAUUAGAGCGUAGUUUAAUUCAGUUACAAAAAAAAAAAUGUUUUCUAAAUAUCUAGAACAAUAUUCGAAUCCACAGAAUCCUUAAAAAAUCCUUUAAAAAAAUCAUUUUUUUGUAAUUAUUAUAUUGUUAUUAUUAUAAAUUCUUAUAUGCUUAGAAAAACCAAUCACAAUUUGCGUAUAUAUUUACAAAUCCCUACAUCGGUUAGUUGAUCGCACAUAAAAUCUAGCUUUGCUGAUAAGAGAUCCCCGUUUACGUGUGCGUCUUCUCUCUCGUGCAUACACGCAAGAUUUCCUCGUCGUGUAUCGCAUAUCUCUUUAUCCUUGUUCCAUAUCUUUCCCUCUCUCUUUCUCUCUCGUACUCACGUCUAAACGUGUAUACGCGCACGCAGAUGCCGCGUGUCGAUGUGGGUAGGGUUAUUAGCCCAGAAAGCAAGGCCCCUGCUUCCGGUGUAGGCACUUUAGUUCGAGAGUUUCUUAACCCCUUCUUACACGACUUCUUGCUGGCCUGCCCUGGCCUAAGACUCUGCCCCGACUUGGCCUGUUGUCGGUUGCGGGUGGUAGAAUUUCUCGUCGAGAACGAACUCCUGGGUCUACGAUGAAACACUCUCUUAUACUUGCAUUUGUGUGCACGAUAUGAACGGAUCGUAGGGUAGGUAGAUAUACUAGGUUAGGUCGGCACGGUGGCGAACCGAACAAUUUUUCCCGCGGUCUAAGGUGGACCCGACAUCGAACGAUCGUAAAUUUCGCGAAACAGAGGGCGCACGACUCUGACUCGCGAUCUUGCUUAUCGUAAGCUACCAUGAUACUGAUGCAGAUUUUACCGUGUUGUUUUGGGAUAGUCUGUUAAUAUACAGGAUGAAAGAGAAAAAAAUUUUAAAUUUGAAAUUUUAUAUUAAAGUGCAAAAUAGAAAGAAGAAAAAGUAAAUAUUAAUAAACAAAUCAUUUGUCGUAUAAUGUAAUCAAAAGAAUUACAGGUAAGUGUUUUUGGUUAAUAAAUAAUUUAGGAACGAAAAGAUUAAAAAUAACGAUUUCAGUUUCGUAUUUUAUCAUUAUUUUUUGAUAUUUUUCAAGAAGAUUCAAUUAUUUUGAUAAUUUCUAAAUAUUAUUAUUAUGAUAUGCUAAAAAAAAAAGAAAAUAUUUUUUACUUUGAAAUACAACUUUCUUACCUAAAGUAAUGUUAGUCUAAUGUUCGAAGUAGAAUUGUUGCUUGUUGAAUUCAUAGCCAUUCGUUUAAUGACAAUUUUAUUGCGCGAAAAAUGAUUAAUGGCACGUUAUUUGCUCGCUGAGGGAAAUACUCGGUGAUAGGUUAAUGGACGUAAAAAAUGAACAGGCUGGCGUAAAGCGGCAGAGAGAUACGAGCCUCGACGAUGAUAGAUAUGGUUUAACCAGUCGUAAUUGUUUUGCGUUCGCUCUUAAUUGGGGCUACUUGUUCGUUACGUUUCUUCCGAAUGGGUAAGAAGCUAUGAAGUUUUAAUAAAUGUCUUGAUCGAGCUGUUAACAUGUUCUGUGGAGAAACGGAUAAAAAAAAAUCUUCUAUUCGUUAUUCAGUUUGUAUCGUCAUUAAUAAUAAACACAAAAAACGAAGAAUAAUAGAAUCAUAACUUGAAUUCACAAAUCGAUCGUAAAAUGGAGGUUAUUUUUUAUCUCUCUUUCUCGAUUCCUUGUUUCAUUUCAACGAUACAUUGCAGUUUUAUUAUUGAUUCAAAUGAACAAGACGAUUCAAGACCAUUGGAUAGCCAGGCUUUCCACGUCCUGUGUUUAAACCUUCCGAGUGAUUUCUAGGUCAGAUAACAAUUAGAAUAACUCGAUUGAAUUGGUAUACCGAUCAGUGAGACGGCAAAGGUGGUCGGCUCGCUUUCGAAAGUGAUGACCCCAGGGAGCGGUAAAGAUGCGUGCAGGUGCUUCCUCUUUGCAUUUUAUACCUAGAACAACACUAAUGCGAUGAAGAUUAGCUUACUUAAGUUCCCAUGAACUAUUUUUGAGCUUAAUCGUUUGCACUGAUCUCCUGUUAUACGUUGUAUACGUACGCCAGCUAGGUUGUAAUAGAUAAUUACUCCUGCGACCAGGUAGGGGGAUAGACGUUCCUGGAUCGCUAAUGAGCUUCUGGAAUAUUAUCGAUGCUCACGGUAAUGCUUAUAACUGCUUUUCAACUGAGAUUGUAAAUUUUCCGUUGUUCACUGAUUUCUGAGGGAAAGAUGCACGCCGAUUAUGCAUCGGUGGAAUAUAAUAGUGUUUUAAAGAUACCCUGUUGCUUCUGUCUGAACGAGAAAUUACCAAUAGAUUUGCCAGAACGAAGACGGACAUAUAUACACUCAGAAAUGCAAAGAUAUUCAAAUAAUUGCCUCUUACAAAAUAGAAAUGAAUAUCGUAUAAUUCUUAGAAGAAAAAUAAACUGUAUAAUAGAUCAUGAUUAAAGCGCAAGCAUUAGAUUUGUACAUAAGUAUUCGAUCUUGCGUAAUAAAAAAACAUUGAACUGUGAUCCUUUGACGAACUCGAAAAAAUUACAUGGCGAAAACUAUUGCAACGUCGGAAGUGGCAAUGCUCGGGAAGCGUACGGUUCUCAAAGGGUUAAUUGGGCAUAGUAAUUCUUCAGGUGACCAAGCUCCAUGGGAGUGGAACGGAGAAAACCCAGUUUUAUGCUUCGCAUUAAGCGGUUAUAUCUAUAUCUUUAUGUUGUAUCUACUAAUUUAUAAAUAUGUAAUUGGCCAACUACGACCCUUCGCUAUAGUAUUACCUUAAAUGUUUUUUUUUUACAGAUAAGUUAUCUAUAAAACAUGUUAACAUUUUUAUGCAAUGAGGAGGAGGGAAUAUCAUUGUCGCGAAAACGAAGUAAAUAUUAUGUAAUAUUGGAUGAGUGACAGCAGCUUAAUUGUUAUUACACCUGUAAAUAUAAUUAUAUUUUUCGUUAAAAUUCCAUUAUCUUGUCAUCAACUAAUUAACUUCUACAUUGAUAUCGAAAUAAUCGAGUAAUUUUUUUUACAAUCCUACAAUAGUUGAUUUUUUCAAUUAAUUUUGGGAUAAGUAUCUUUUCUAUGAUGAUAUAUUAAAAUUUGGAAUUCAUAAACAGAUUUUAAAUACGAAUGAAAAUUUUUAAACAUUUUAAUCAUUAUUUCAAUUGUUAUUAAAAAGACUUAUAUUACAACUAACAUUUAUUACAAAAUCAAAUCAAAUCUGAUGUAAUUAAUGAAAACAUAUAAAUACAAAUGAUACAGAUAUUUA